Molecule: ribosomal RNA, 620 nt
Filed under: uncultured Hyphomicrobiales bacterium
Lineage: Bacteria; Pseudomonadati; Pseudomonadota; Alphaproteobacteria; Hyphomicrobiales
Description: bacterial SSU rRNA
Rfam family: Bacterial small subunit ribosomal RNA
Source: RNAcentral
GCGGCAGACGGGUGAGUAACACGUGGGAACGUACCUUUUGCUACGGAACAGCUCCGGGAAACUGGAAUUAAUACCGUAUGUGCCCUUCGGGGGAAAGAUUUAUCGGCAAAAGAUCGGCCCGCGUCUGAUUAGCUAGUUGGUGGGGUAAUGGCCUACCAAGGCGACGAUCAGUAGCUGGUCUGAGAGGAUGAUCAGCCACACUGGGACUGAGACACGGCCCAGACUCCUACGGGAGGCAGCAGUGGGGAAUAUUGGACAAUGGGGGCAACCCUGAUCCAGCCAUGCCGCGUGAGUGAUGAAGGCCUUAGGGUUGUAAAGCUCUUUCGCUAGGGAAGAUAAUGACGGUACCUAGAGAAGAAGCCCCGGCUAACUUCGUGCCAGCAGCCGCGGUAAUACGAAGGGGGCUAGCGUUGUUCGGAAUUACUGGGCGUAAAGCGCACGUAGGCGGACUAUUAAGUCAGGGGUGAAAUCCCAGGGCUCAACCCUGGAACUGCCUUUGAUACUGGUAGUCUUGAGUACGAGAGAGGUGAGUGGAAUUCCGAGUGUAGAGGUGAAAUUCGUAGAUAUUCGGAAGAACACCAGUGGCGAAGGCGGCUCACUGGCUCGUAACUGACGCUGAG